Molecule: unclassified non-coding RNA, 476 nt
Filed under: Hevea brasiliensis (rubber tree)
Lineage: Eukaryota; Viridiplantae; Streptophyta; Magnoliopsida; Malpighiales; Euphorbiaceae
Source: RNAcentral
UACAGACAGAAUAUUUUUCAGCACAGAAGCGAUAUUUAGUGUCAGCUUAAGUCCAAGUCCUGACAGACUUGUCAUAAACGGAAAAGUGGCAAGCAAUGGUAUAGAUAAAAGCGCUGCGACACGAGCUGAGUUGAUCGGUCCAAGGAGUCUCUCGAAUGGAGGGUAAAGAAUAAGUUGAAAUAUUAUAAGACUGAUACCUGUGACCGAAAGGAUUGAUCCAACAUCCUCGGAUGAAAAGCUCAAUCCUCCAAAACUUCUAUCACUCUCAGCCCAUAGGGAGAAUAUCUCAGUGUAAGCCAUAUCAUGAAGGGAGAAAAUACAAAAUACGGUGAUAGCUGAAAUUAAAGCCCAGUUCUUCAAUAUGCUCCCAGGGGGUCUUUCGUUUGUUUCUUCGUUGCUUUCUUUUGAAUCAGAGCCAUAAGAACCCUCCAAAGCUUCAAAAGUUUCAUCAUUUGUAUGGGAAUGCAGAGUUUCCG